This 448-nucleotide ribosomal RNA is filed under the name uncultured bacterium. Its description in RNAcentral is "bacterial SSU rRNA". It matches the Rfam family "Bacterial small subunit ribosomal RNA", at positions 355 to 825 of the family's 1533-position model. The record is from RNAcentral.
UGGGGAAUAUUGGACAAUGGGCGCAAGCCUGAUCCAGCCAUGCCGCGUGAGUGACGAAGGCCUUAGGGUUGUAAAGCUCUUUUUGGCGGGGAAGAUAAUGACGGUACCCGCAGAAUAAGCUCCGGCUAACUUCGUGCCAGCAGCCGCGGUAAUACGAAGGGAGCUAGCGUUGUUCGGAAUCACUGGGCGUAAAGCGCACGUAGGUGGGCAGUUAAGUCAGGGGUGAAAGCCCGAGGCUCAACCUCGGAAUUGCCUCUGAUACUGGCUGUCUAGAGUCCGAGAGAGGUGGGUGGAAUUCCUAGUGUAGAGGUGAAAUUCGUAGAUAUUAGGAAGAACACCGGUGGCGAAGGCGGCCCACUGGCUCGGUACUGACACUGAGGUGCGAAAGCGUGGGGAGCAAACAGGAUUAGAUACCCAGGUAGUCCCUGAGCGGGCUGGCAAGGCGCAU